GACCCCAAGGCCCCAGGCCCAACAUUAGGAAAACUAACCCCUGUGCCCUGAAGCUGCAAGAUGUUCCCUCACCCAACCCCCAUGUCAAAACCCCUCCAGCAGCAUGUAGCACCUCAGGUGUUGCACAAUGUUACCACAAGAUGUUCCAUGUAGAUAACCCUAACGGGCCCCCUAUCACAAGAUGUUCCUUUUAGACAGUCCUACUGGUUAAACUUGAGAACUAGGUUUAAAAACAGGAACUGAAAGGACAGAAUGCAAUUUUAUGGUUUUUUUGAGAACAAAAAGUUGAAAAACAAGUUUACCCCCCUAGGUGACUCAACUGCUGAAUUCAGAGGGACCAAUAGGAAGGCUGUUGCUGUGCUAAGCUAAGACCUAACCCACCUGUUCCAUAUAAAAGAUCUAUACCCCAAAGCCCGGUGUGCCAGCUCAUCGAAGCUCCGGCUGAGGUUUUGCUGUGCACCCGCAGGCGCCUGUGUGAGAAUAAACGCCUCCUGCUUUUUGCAGCCAGUGUCUCGUGUGGUUCAUUCCGGGUUUGGGAUCUGUGGAUAUUUCAUUGUGGAGGUUCCACCGAGAUCCAAGAUCCCGGUUCCGGUUCGAUCCCGGUCCCUAUCCGGAGGACACCCGACAUCACUGGGAGACUCAUUUGCAUGCUUUGCAAUUGGUCCAGAACGAGGUCUGGAAGCCUCUAGCCGCAGCAUACAAAGAGGAACUUAAAACCCCCUUGCUGCCACAUCCCUUCAAGGUCGGAGAUACCGUCUGGGUACGCAGGCACCAGAGCAGGAACCUCGAACCGCGGUGGAAAGGACCCUACACUAUCCUGCUGACCACUCCUACUGCACUCAAAGUGGACGGCAUCGCUGCUUAGAUCCAUGCUUCCCACGUGAAGACUGCACAUCCACAGGAGUCCGCAGACACCUCUCCGGAUCCAGAAUGGAAGUUGCAACGUACCCAAAAUCCGCUAAAGAUAAGACUCACUCGCUGUUAAUUUUUCUUGCUUUGUGCUGUGUCUUCCCCAUAUCAGUUAACCCCAACCAAUCUGUGAGCCAGACAUGACAAGUAUUAUCGGGGACAAAAAAUAUAAUUUAAAAAAAAAAAAAAAAAAAACAAAACAGGAUCCCCCACUUUCUGCCGACUCUUGCAGGAGCCUGAAAUGGUACGGGGCAGGGCCAUGUACCGCAUUUGCCUGCAACCCCUUAAACAUUACCUUUACUCAGGCAGGCAAAGCAUCAAAAGAUUGGAUAAAAAAAAAAAAAAAAACAAUGGGGCCUGAGAGUAUAUCAUAAAACUGCCUAUGACCCUGGGGUCCUAUUCAAAAUUAGAUUAAUAGUAAAUACCAACCCCCAACCAGUAUGCUGAGCCGUCAGCUAAAAUAAUGCUGGAAUCCGAGCAGAUGGGUCAAUGGAUAUAAAAUUAUAUCCAUGAUAUAAAAAAAAAAAAGGGGAAUGAAGGACCCCAAGGCCCCAGGCCCAACAUUAGGAAAACUAACCCCUGUGCCCUGAAGCUGCAAGAUGUUCCCUCACCCAACCCCCAUGUCAAAACCCCUCCAGCAGCAUGUAGCACCUCAGGUGUUGCACAAUGUUACCACAAGAUGUUCCAUGUAGAUAACCCUAACGGGCCCCCUAUCACAAGAUGUUCCUUUUAGACAGUCCUACUGGUUAAACUUGAGAACUAGGUUUAAAAACAGGAACUGAAAGGACAGAAUGCAAUUUUAUGGUUUUUCUGAGAACAAAAAGUUGAAAAACAAGUUUACCCCCCUAGGUGACUCAACUGCUGAAUUCAGAGGGACCAAUAGGAAGGCUGUUGCUGUGCUAAGCUAAGACCUAACCCACCUGUUCCAUAUAAAAGAUCUAUACCCCAAAGCCCGGUGUGCCAGCUCAUCGAAGCUCCGGCUGAGGUUUUGCUGUGCACCCGCAGGCGCCUGUGUGAGAAUAAACGCCUCCUGCUUUUUGCA
This is a long non-coding RNA of Marmota monax (woodchuck), 1951 nucleotides long. RefSeq lists it as uncharacterized. The transcript is spliced from 2 exons. The record is from RefSeq and is a predicted model, not a curated record. NCBI's taxonomy places the organism in Eukaryota, Metazoa, Chordata, Mammalia, Rodentia, Sciuridae.